GGGCCCGCACAAGCGGUGGAGCAUGUGGUUUAAUUCGAUGAUACGCGAGGAACCUUACCAGGGCUUAAAUGGGAGAUGACAGGGGCAGAGACGCCCUUUUCUUCGGACAUCUUUCAAGGUGCUGCAUGGUUGUCGUCAGCUCGUGCCGUGAGGUGUCAGGUUAAGUCCUAUAACGAGCGCAACCCCUACCGUUAGUUGCCAGCGAUUCAAGUCGGGGACUCUAACGGGACUGCCGGUGCAAACCGUGAGGAAGGUGGGGACGACGUCAAAUCAUCACGGCCCUUACGUCCUGGGCUACACACGUGCUACAAUGGUCGGUACAGAGGGAAGCUACCCCGCAAGGGGAUGCGGAUCCUUAAAACCGGUCUCAGUUCGGAUCGGGGUCUGCAACUCGGCCCGUGAAGCUGGAAUCGCUAGUAAUCG
RNAcentral lists this ribosomal RNA (423 nucleotides) under uncultured bacterium. Its description in RNAcentral is "bacterial SSU rRNA". It matches the Rfam family "Bacterial small subunit ribosomal RNA", at positions 917 to 1344 of the family's 1533-position model. The record is from RNAcentral.